Berkelbacteria bacterium GW2011_GWA1_36_9 is the source of this 84-nucleotide non-coding RNA. The record is from Rfam. NCBI's taxonomy places the organism in Bacteria, Candidatus Berkelbacteria.
GCGGGAAUGCCGGAGUGGUCAAACGGGCUGCGUUUAGGCCGCAGUAGCUUAGUGCUUACAGAGGUUCGAAUCCUCUUUCCCGCA